RNAcentral lists this ribosomal RNA (401 nucleotides) under uncultured bacterium. RNAcentral's name for it is "bacterial SSU rRNA". It matches the Rfam family "Bacterial small subunit ribosomal RNA", at positions 355 to 773 of the family's 1533-position model. The record is from RNAcentral.
UGGGGAAUCUUGCACAAUGGGGGCAACCCUGAUGCAGCGACGCCGCGUGAGCGAUGAAGCCCUUCGGGGCGUAAAGCUCUUUCGACCGGAACGAUAAUGACGGUACCGGGAGAAGAAGCUGCGGCUAACUACGUGCCAGCAGCCGCGGUAAUACGUAGGCAGCAAGCGUUGUUCGGAGUUACUGGGCGUAAAGAGUGCGUAGGCGGUUUUCUAAGUUCGGUGUGAAAUCUCCCUGCUUAACUGGGAGGGUGCGCCGAAGACUGGGAAGCUGGAGUGUGGGAAAGGCAGGCGGAAUUCCUGGUGUAGCGGUGAAAUGCGUAGAUAUCAGGAGGAACACCGGCGGUGUAGACGGCUUGCUAGACCAUAACUGACGCUGAGGCACGAAAGCGUGGGUAGCAAAC